AGCAUUAUUACCGCCAUUCCUCAUUUGGCGGGAUAGCGUUCGGCUGUACCCAAACCCGCCCUAGAGGCGGGUUUU
Pseudomonas brenneri is the source of this 75-nucleotide non-coding RNA. The record is from Rfam. NCBI's taxonomy places the organism in Bacteria, Pseudomonadati, Pseudomonadota, Gammaproteobacteria, Pseudomonadales, Pseudomonadaceae.